AAGGAUCAUUAUUGAAUAAACCUGAUGUGGCUGUUAGCUGGCUUUUCGAAGCAUGUGCUCGUCCCGUCAUCUUUAUCUCUCCACCUGUGAACAUUUUGUAGUCUUGGAUACCUCUCGAGGCAACUCGGAUUUUAAGGAUCGCCGUGCUGUACAAGUUGGCUUUCUUUUCAUUUUUCAAGACUAUGUUUUUUAUAUACACCAAAGNAUGUUUAAAGAAUGUCAUCAAUAGAAACUUGUUUUCUAUUAAAAUUAUACAACUUUCAGCAACGGAUCUCUUGGCUCUCGCAUCGAUGAAGAACGCAGCGAAAUGCGAUAAGUAAUGUGAAUUGCAGAAUUCAGUGAAUCAUCGAAUCUUUGAACGCACCUUGCGCUCCUUGGUAUUCCGAGGAGCAUGCCUGUUUGAGUGUCAUUAAAUUCUCAACCUUCCAGCUUUUAUUAGCUUGGUUAGGCUUGGAUGUGGGGGUUGCAGGCUUCAUUAAUGAGGUCAGCUCUCCUUAAAUGCAUUAGNGGAACUUUUGUGGACCGUCUGUUGGUGUGAUAAUUAUCUACGCCGUGGAUGUGAAGCAGAUUUAUGAAGUUCAGCUUCUAACCGUCCAUUGACUUGGACAAUUUUGACAAUUUGACCUCAAAUCAGGUAGGACUACCCGCUGAACUUAAGCAUAUCAAUAAGCGGAGGAAAAGAAACUAACAAGGAUUCCCCUAGUAACUGCGAGUGAAGCGGGAAAAGCUCAAAUUUAAAAUCUGGCAGUCUUUGGCUGUCCGAG
This 764-nucleotide ribosomal RNA is filed under the name Laccaria amethystina. RNAcentral's name for it is "eukaryotic LSU rRNA". The stretch from base 256 to 409 matches the Rfam family "5.8S ribosomal RNA". The record is from RNAcentral. Lineage: Eukaryota; Fungi; Basidiomycota; Agaricomycetes; Agaricales; Hydnangiaceae.